UGAUUUGCUAAAUUGCGGUCGCAAAAAAAGAAAAUGAUAAUUGCUUUUCACGUCAGUGUGUUUCCAGAAAUUCGGUUCCAGAAAGCGUGACUAGUACAUAUUCUCGCUCCUUCUGUUCCCUCGGACUUCACUUCCCUGGCUUAUCAUACCGA
RNAcentral lists this ribosomal RNA (152 nucleotides) under Plasmodium cynomolgi. RNAcentral describes it as "partial 18S ribosomal RNA". The record is from RNAcentral. Lineage: Eukaryota; Apicomplexa; Aconoidasida; Haemosporida; Plasmodiidae.